GAUGAAGAACGCAGUGAAAUGCGAUAAGUAAUGUGAAUUGCAGAAUUCAGUGAACCAUCGAAUCUUUGAACGCACAUUGCGCCCGGCAGUAAUCUGCCGGGCAUGCCUGUCCGAGCGUCAUUUCUGCCCUCGAGCGAGUCCAGCAUCUAGGUGCUGGGCCCGCCCGGCGUUGGGGCACUACGGGAAGCCCUGUGCUGUCCCCCGUGGCCCCGAAAUGAAGUGGCGGUCCUGCCGCGGCGCCCCCUGCGUAGUAUAACAGCUCGCUUCGGGACCCGGUGGAGGCCUGCCGUCAAACCUUACUCUCUAAGUUUGACCUCGGAUCAGGUAGGGUUACCCGCUGAACUUAAGCAUAUCAAUAAGCGGAGGA
Molecule: unclassified non-coding RNA, 367 nt
Filed under: soil metagenome
Description: partial contains 5.8S ribosomal RNA, internal transcribed spacer 2, and large subunit ribosomal RNA
Rfam family: 5.8S ribosomal RNA (bases 1-120)
Source: RNAcentral